This is a long non-coding RNA of Dromaius novaehollandiae (emu), 302 nucleotides long. RefSeq lists it as uncharacterized. The record is from RefSeq and is a predicted model, not a curated record. The transcript is spliced from 2 exons. NCBI's taxonomy places the organism in Eukaryota, Metazoa, Chordata, Aves, Casuariiformes, Dromaiidae.
UUUUUCUGAUAUGAAAAUCUUUUUUUGAUAUAGUCGUAUUUCUCUGAAAGAGCUAAAGGAAGAAUACAAAGUUACUUUAAAUUCCUGGUCAAAGAUGAGGGAGACUAACUAGCUAGGUGCAUUUAUAAGAUGCAGAUAUUCCCAGAACUCUAACUUAAAAAUAUUUCUUCUGUGUCACAGUGUACUUCUUGGACUGUAAGGAUGGACCGCAGUAGAAGGAAUUUGAAUUAGAUGCAUCCGUGUUUGGGCUUCCUGUGCUACUCUGCAAAGCUAUUUUGAAGUAAAGAUCUUUUGAGUCUGUA